UCAUGCUAUUUAUAACUUAGAGGGGAAAAAAUUAUAAGCCAGCCACCAUGCAAAGUAAAGUUUUCCCUUGAAACAGCUUUUGAUGGCAUGCUAUUGAUUUAUUUUGUGCAUAUCAUUAUUAAAAAUGGCUACAGGA
Molecule: small nucleolar RNA, 136 nt
Filed under: Sorex araneus (European shrew)
Lineage: Eukaryota; Metazoa; Chordata; Mammalia; Eulipotyphla; Soricidae
Description: Small nucleolar RNA SNORA15 (ENSSARG00000020109.1)
Source: RNAcentral